This 381-nucleotide unclassified non-coding RNA is filed under the name soil metagenome. RNAcentral describes it as "partial contains 5.8S ribosomal RNA, internal transcribed spacer 2, and large subunit ribosomal RNA". The stretch from base 1 to 120 matches the Rfam family "5.8S ribosomal RNA", at positions 35 to 154 of the family's 154-position model. The record is from RNAcentral.
GAUGAAGAACGUAGCGAAAUGCGAUAAGUAAUGUGAAUUGCAGAAUUCAGUGAAUCAUCGAAUCUUUGAACGCACCUUGCACCCUUUGGCAUUCCGAAGGGUAUGCUCGUUUGAGUGUCAUUGUACUCUCACACUUCCAAUUCUUUGGAUUGGGAGCGGUGGACUUGGGUGCUGCUGCUUAACUGUGGCUCGCCUUAAAUGAAGUAGUGCAACUCUCGGUUGGACAUAGUACGGCGUGAUAAGUGUCUUCGCCGGCGCCUCAUUCGAGGGUGGCCGAUCGGGAGCUCUGUGCUUCAAACUGUCUUCGGACAACAUCUGACAACUUGACCUCAAAUCGAGUAGGACUACCCGCUGAACUUAAGCAUAUCAAUAAGCGGAGGA